AUUGAACGCUGGCGGCAGGCCUAACACAUGCAAGUCGAACGAGUCGCGGACGGGUGAGUAAUGUCUGGGAAACUGCGUGAUGGAGGGGGAUAUCUACUGGAAACGGUAGCUAAUACCGCAUACCAUCAGAUGUGCCCAGUGGCGAUUAGCUAGUUGUUGGGGUAACGGCUCACCAAGGCGACGAUCCAUAGCUGGUUUGAGAGGAUGACCGGCCACAUUGGAACUGAGACACGGCCCAGACUCCUACGGGAGGCAGCAGUGGGGAAUAUUGCACAAUGGGCGAAAGCCUGAUGCAGCCAUGCCGCGUGAAUGAAGAAGGCCUUCGGAUUGUAAAGUACUGUCAGCGGGGAGGCGUUACCCGCACAAGAAGCACCGGCUAACUCCGUGCCAGCAGCCGCGGUAAUAC
Molecule: ribosomal RNA, 406 nt
Filed under: uncultured bacterium
Lineage: Bacteria
Description: partial 16S ribosomal RNA
Rfam family: Bacterial small subunit ribosomal RNA
Source: RNAcentral